RNAcentral lists this ribosomal RNA (253 nucleotides) under uncultured bacterium. Its description in RNAcentral is "partial 16S ribosomal RNA". It matches the Rfam family "Bacterial small subunit ribosomal RNA", at positions 524 to 776 of the family's 1533-position model. The record is from RNAcentral.
UACGUAGGGGGCAAGCGUUGUCCGGAUUUAUUGGGCGUAAAGAGCGUGUAGGCGGCUAGAUAGGUCCGUUGUGAAAACUCGAGGCUCAACCUCGAGACGCCGGUGGAAACCAUCUAGCUAGAGUCCGGAAGAGGAGAGUGGAAUUCCUGGUGUAGCGGUGAAAUGCGCAGAUAUCAGGAGGAACACCGGUGGCGAAGGCGCCACUCUGGGCCGAAACUGACGCUGAGGAGCGAAAGCGUGGGUAGCAAACAGG